Molecule: long non-coding RNA, 296 nt
Filed under: Medicago truncatula (barrel medic)
Lineage: Eukaryota; Viridiplantae; Streptophyta; Magnoliopsida; Fabales; Fabaceae
Description: long non-coding RNA (MTRU_LNC005277)
Source: RNAcentral
CCAAUUCUACCACAUGCAUUCUAAUUCUUUGAAAAACCUUAUACAUGGUUAAGCCUUCUCCUCCCUCUAAGAUCCUAUAAAAUAUUCUGACACUCAAAGUCUUUAUAAGGUUGGAUCCGUUCCUUUAAAAUUCUGCAAAUACACAUUGACGCUUAAGUUUAUAAGGUGUUUGUGAGGUUUAAAUAUUGAAAAAUAAGCAUACCUUGCGGAAUGGUAUCUCCUCCUUUUAUUCAUCACGUGAAUGUCCUUUUUUCGAUCUAGAAUCAGCUCUUAUAAGUUCGAAAACAUAAUUCCUU